Dermochelys coriacea (leatherback sea turtle) is the source of this 1503-nucleotide long non-coding RNA. RefSeq lists it as uncharacterized. The record is from RefSeq and is a predicted model, not a curated record. The transcript has 4 exons. Lineage: Eukaryota; Metazoa; Chordata; Testudines; Dermochelyidae.
GGCUACAGGCAGAAGAGGUGGGCUGGGGAGCUAGCCUCCCAAAGUGGCAGCUUCACCCACCGCCCAUGACAGCAGGUAAGAGCGGGUCGGCUCCCGCACACCCAGUGCGCACUGCAGUUUCCCUAUGCAGGGGCUGUAUUCACAGAGCUGAAUGUGCCGGUGCCGCGCAUUCUGUGUGAGGGAGAAGGUACGGGGGUCUCUGAGGGGAACUGUGACUUUUUGCCACCAUGAAGCGGGCCAGGUGGCUUGGUAUCCUUUGCUGCCUCGUUCCCCCCCCCCCACUCCUGGGCUGCGAACCCGGGCUGCCAUCGGGCUUAGGGACAGCAGUUUAAUAAUACUGCGUAGGACCCCAUAAUUCCUAAGGAUGUCCCUGCUCACCUCACUUCUUCCCAUCCUACUCUGGCCCUGCCCCACCUCUUCCUGCCCCAUUCUGUCCCCUCCCGCCCAGUUCCUUCCCCUCCCCACCAUCACCUCCUAAAUACCGCUGAACAGCUGAUCACUGGCAGGCAGGAAGUGGUGGCAUCUGGGAUACGUUUACACUGCAAGUGAAGUCUGGGAUAUGUUUACACUGCUGAAGGUGUGAUUGUAGCUUUAAUCUAGCCAGCAUGGGCUACAAGAGCUGUAAAGUAGAUGUGGUGGCAUGGGGUUCAGUAUAUUCACAUGCAUACCCAGGGUGCAUGGUGGGCUUGUCCCUUCCCGUCCUACUUUUCUUUGACUCUAUGAAACAUUUUGUUUGACCCAAAAUGUAUUUUAGAUAAGGUGGAAAAGUGAAGUACUAACCACCUUGUGAUCAUUAAAAUCCCAUGGCACUUUUUGCAAAAACAGAGGUGUUAGGUAAAAUUUUAAAAAAUACCUAAUUGAUUUCGGAGGCUAGAUCCCAUUUUCAAAGUGAUGUAGGCACUUAGUAGGAGCAUAAGUCUCAUUUAUUUUUAAUGAUUCAUUACCUUCUAAUUUGAUUAAUUAAAUUGUAUAUUUAAAAUUUCCCUUUUUGUUUUGUAUAUGAAAUCCUUCAGUCCCCAUCUUAUACUGUUGUGUAGCACUGCUGGUGCAUUAUACUGUUGUGUAGCAUUGUGUAGCUAAAAUGCUGCUAUGUUCCACUGCAGAAGAGGCUGCUUCUCAGUGAUGUGUGAGGAAAUUUCUCUCUCUCGUUUAUAAAUUGCUUUGGGAGCCUUCUAGAUGGACAGAGUCACUGCUUCCCAGGAUAGAAUUACCCAUCACAAAUUGUUUUGAAUCAGGAGAUGUAUGAAGUGCUGGAUAAAAAGGGAUGGACAAAUUGCUGUGUGACGCUGUCUGGACAAGAAGAUAACAAUUCUGAUAAGGACGAGAGGAAGACAGAAAAUAGAGGAGAUGUAAUGUUUUUCACUGAACAGUGUUUAUGGUAUCUAUGCUAGAAAUACUGUUAUUCAGGGGAGGAAUACAAUGAAAGGAAAGGAUUUUGUUUUAAUGCCAUACCACGGCAAGCAUUGAGCCUGCUCAGCUCAGCUCACUGUCACCAUGGCUGUU